RNAcentral lists this ribosomal RNA (468 nucleotides) under uncultured bacterium. Its description in RNAcentral is "partial 16S ribosomal RNA". It matches the Rfam family "Bacterial small subunit ribosomal RNA", at positions 28 to 507 of the family's 1533-position model. The record is from RNAcentral.
GACGAACGCUGGCGGCGUGCUUAACACAUGCAAGUCGAACGGACAGGCCCUGCUCUUGUUGCGUGCUCGAGUGGCGAACGGGUGAGUAACACGUGAGUAACCUCCCCUUGACUUUGGGAUAACAUCAGGAAACUCCGGCUAAUACCGGAUAUGAGCUCCUGCUCCAUGGUGGGGGUUGGAAAGUUUCGGCGGUUGGGGAUGGACUCGCGGCUUAUCAGCUUGUUGGUGGGGUAGUGGCUUACCAAGGCUUUGACGGGUAGCCUGCCUGAGAGGCGGACCGGCGACAAUGGGACUGAGAGAGGGCCCAGACGCCUACGGGAGGCAGCAGUGGGGAAUAUGGCAGAAUGGGCGGAAGUGAGAUGCAGCAACGCCGCGUGCGGGAUGACGGCCUUCGGGUUGUAAACCGCUUUCGCCUGUGACGAAGCGGGAGUGACGGUAAUGGGUAAAGAAGCACCGGCUAACUACGUG